UACGGAGGGUGCAAGCGUUAUCCGGAUUCACUGGGUUUAAAGGGUGCGUAGGUGGGUCUGUAAGUCAGUGGUGAAAUCUCCAGGCUUAACCUGGAAACUGCCAUUGAUACUAUAGGUCUUGAAUUAUCCGGAGGUCAGCGGAAUAUGUCAUGUAGCGGUGAAAUGCUUAGAUAUGACAUAGAACACCAAUUGCGAAGGCAGCUGACUACAGGUUGAUUGACACUGAGGCACGAAAGCGUGGGGAUCAAACAGG
Molecule: ribosomal RNA, 253 nt
Filed under: uncultured bacterium
Lineage: Bacteria
Description: partial 16S ribosomal RNA
Rfam family: Bacterial small subunit ribosomal RNA
Source: RNAcentral